Molecule: ribosomal RNA, 499 nt
Filed under: Philantomba walteri
Lineage: Eukaryota; Metazoa; Chordata; Mammalia; Artiodactyla; Bovidae
Description: partial large subunit ribosomal RNA
Rfam family: Bacterial large subunit ribosomal RNA
Source: RNAcentral
GGAGGCACUGCCUGCCCAGUGACAAACGUUAAACGGCCGCGGUAUCCUGACCGUGCAAAGGUAGCAUAAUCAUUUGUUCUCUAAAUAAGGACUUGUAUGAAUGGCCACACGAGGGUUUUACUGUCUCUUACUUCCAAUCAGUGAAAUCGACCUUCCCGUGAAGAGGCGGGAAUAAAUAAAUAAGACGAGAAGACCCUAUGGAGCUUUAACUAAUUAGUCCAGAGAAAAUUAAACUCUAACCACCAAGGGACAGCAACAUCCUCCAUGGACUAACAGCUUUGGUUGGGGUGACCUCGGAGAAUAAAAAAUCCUCCGAGCGAUUUUAAAGACUAGACUGACAAGUCAAAUCAAAUUAUCGCUUAUUGAUCCAAAAACUUGAUCAACGGAACAAGUUACCCUAGGGAUAACAGCGCAAUCCUAUUCAAGAGUCCAUAUCGACAAUAGGGUUUACGACCUCGAUGUUGGAUCAGGACACCCCGAUGGUGCAACCGCUAUCAAA